Molecule: ribosomal RNA, 698 nt
Filed under: uncultured bacterium
Lineage: Bacteria
Description: bacterial SSU rRNA
Rfam family: Bacterial small subunit ribosomal RNA
Source: RNAcentral
AUCCGAUGUGGGUGGAAAGAUUUAUUGGUGGAGGAUGGACUCGCGGCCUAUCAGCUUGUUGGUGAGGUAAUGGCUCACCAAGGCGACGACGGGUAGCCGGCCUGAGAGGGCGAUCGGCCACACUGGGACUGAGACACGGCCCAGACUCCUACGGGAGGCAGCAGUGGGGAAUAUUGCACAAUGGGCGAAAGCCUGAUGCAGCGACGCCGCGUGAGGGAUGAAGGCCUUCGGGUUGUAAACCUCUUUCAGCAGGGAAGAAGCGGCCGGGUUUUCUUGGUUGUGACGGUACCUGCAGAAGAAGCACCGGCUAACUACGUGCCAGCAGCCGCGGUAAUACGUAGGGUGCAAGCGUUGUCCGGAAUUAUUGGGCGUAAAGAGCUUGUAGGCGGUUUGUCGCGUCUGCUGUGAAAUUUCGGGGCUCAACCCCGAACUUGCAGUGGGUACGGGCAGACUAGAGUGUGGUAGGGGAGACUGGAAUUCCUGGUGUAGCGGUGAAAUGCGCAGAUAUCAGGAGGAACACCGAUGGCGAAGGCAGGUCUCUGGGCCACUACUGACGCUGAGAAGCGAAAGCAUGGGGAGCGAACAGGAUUAGAUACCCUGGUAGUCCAUGCCGUAAACGUUGGGAACUAGGUGUGGGCCUCAUUCCACGAGGUCCGUGCCGCAGCUAACGCAUUAAGUUCCCCGCCUGGGGAGUACGG